RNAcentral lists this unclassified non-coding RNA (370 nucleotides) under soil metagenome. Its description in RNAcentral is "partial contains internal transcribed spacer 2 and large subunit ribosomal RNA". The stretch from base 2 to 116 matches the Rfam family "5.8S ribosomal RNA", at positions 40 to 154 of the family's 154-position model. The record is from RNAcentral.
GAGAACGUAGCGAAAUGCGAUAAUUAAUGUGAAUUACAGAAUUCCGUGAAUCAUCGAGUCUUUGAACGCACAUUGCGCCUCAUGGCAUUCCGUGAGGCAUGCCCAUCUCAGCGUUAGAAAAUAUUCUCAAAUUUUAGUUUUGUGCUAAAAUUUGGAUCAUGUCAAGGAAGCUAUUACUAUUAUUGUGAUCGCUCUUUGGAAAUUGAUAGGUCUUUGAGUUGCUACUCAUAGAACGUGAUGAAUCUUUCUUCGUUCUAUUGUAAUUCACUCUGGUAGUCCUAAAACUUGUAUGCCUGUGGCAUAUCUUGUAAUUUGACCUGAGAUUGGGUAGGGAUACCCGCUGAACUUAAGCAUAUCAAUAAGCGGAGGA